RNAcentral lists this non-coding RNA (180 nucleotides) under Desulfofarcimen acetoxidans DSM 771. Its description in RNAcentral is "Desulfotomaculum acetoxidans DSM 771 6S / SsrS RNA". It matches the Rfam family "6S / SsrS RNA". From Rfam's summary of the family: E. coli 6S RNA was the first non coding RNA to be sequenced, but its function was unknown until recently. It consists of 184 nucleotides that fold into an extended hairpin structure with a large single-stranded internal bulge. The 6S RNA specifically associates with RNA polymerase holoenzyme containing the sigma70 specificity factor. Lineage: Bacteria; Bacillati; Bacillota; Clostridia; Eubacteriales; Peptococcaceae. The record is from Rfam by way of RNAcentral.
UACACCCUACAGUGUGCGUGACCUUCCUUGAAGUUUUGAGCCAAUACCAUUACAUUGGGAACCUGGUCUCUGUCUAUGGCUUGAUUACUCUUUUAUAGAGGAACAUAAAAUAGACAGGAGGGUACCCACCUGCGAGAGCGGAGUUCAAACUUUAGGGAUUACGGCAUAUGUGGGGUUUUU